GUGAGGAAUAUUGCGCAAUGGAGGCAACUCUGACGCAGCCAUGCCGCGUGCAGGAAGAAGGCGCUACGCGUUGUAAACUGCUUUUAACCGGGAAGAAACCCCAGGACGUGUCCUGGGUUGACGGUACCGGAGGAAUAAGCACCGGCUAACUUCGUGCCAGCAGCCGCGGUAAUACGAAGGGUGCAAGCGUUAUCCGGAUUCAUUGGGUUUAAAGGGUGCGUAGGCGGAGCGUUAAGUCAGUGGUGAAAUCCUGCAGCUUAACUGUAGACUUGCCAUUGAUACUGGCGCUCUUGAGUGCGCUGGAAGUGGGCGGAAUGUGCCGUGUAGCGGUGAAAUGCUUAGAUAUGGCACAGAACACCAAUUGCGAAGGCAGCUCACUAAGGCGAUACUGACGCUGAGGCACGAAAGCGUGGGGAUCGAACAGGAUUAGAAACCCCAGUAGUCC
RNAcentral lists this ribosomal RNA (445 nucleotides) under uncultured bacterium. Its description in RNAcentral is "partial 16S ribosomal RNA". It matches the Rfam family "Bacterial small subunit ribosomal RNA", at positions 354 to 796 of the family's 1533-position model. The record is from RNAcentral.